GAUUAAGCCAUGCAUGUGUAAGUAUAAAUAAUUUUACUUUGAAACUGCGAAUGGCUCAUUAUAUCAGUUAUAGUUUAUUAGAAAUACUUUACUACUUGGAUAACCGUAGUAAUUCUAGGGCUAAUACAUGAAUAAAUCCUCAACUUCGGAAGAGGUGUGUUUAUUAGUAUGAAAACCAUAUAUCUUCGGAUAUAAUAGUGAGUAAUAAUAACCUUUCGUAUCGUAUGUCGUAAGAUAACGAUAGUUCUUUCAAGUUUCUGCCCUAUCAGCUUUCGAUGGUAGUGUAUUGGACUACCAUG
RNAcentral lists this ribosomal RNA (299 nucleotides) under Blastocystis hominis. RNAcentral describes it as "partial 18S ribosomal RNA". It matches the Rfam family "Eukaryotic small subunit ribosomal RNA", at positions 42 to 348 of the family's 1831-position model. The record is from RNAcentral. Lineage: Eukaryota; Bigyra; Opalinata; Blastocystidae.